RNAcentral lists this ribosomal RNA (254 nucleotides) under uncultured bacterium. RNAcentral describes it as "partial 16S ribosomal RNA". It matches the Rfam family "Bacterial small subunit ribosomal RNA", at positions 524 to 776 of the family's 1533-position model. The record is from RNAcentral.
UACGUAGGGGGCAAGCGUUGUCCGGAAUCAUUGGGCGUAAAGCGCGUGUAGGCGGCCCGGUAAGUCCGCUGUGAAAGUCGGGGGCUCAACCCUCGAAAGCCGGUGGAUACUGUCGGGCUCGAGUACGGGAGAGGCGAGUGGAAUUCCUGGUGUAGCGGUGAAAUGCGCAGAUAUCAGGAGGAACACCGAUUGCGAAGGCAGACUCGCUGGAACGUUACUGACGCUGAGACGCGAAAGCGUGGGGAGCAAACAGG